This is a non-coding RNA of Acanthosepion pharaonis, 102 nucleotides long. NCBI's taxonomy places the organism in Eukaryota, Metazoa, Mollusca, Cephalopoda, Sepiida, Sepiidae. The record is from the annotation of a GenBank genome assembly.
UUACGGCCAUAUCAUGUGGAAACACCGGUUCCCGUACGAUCACCUAAGUUAAACAACGUCGAGUUUGGUUAUUCCCUAGAUGGGUGACCGCUUGAAAAUACC